RNAcentral lists this transfer RNA (71 nucleotides) under Candidatus Collierbacteria bacterium RIFOXYD1_FULL_40_9. Its description in RNAcentral is "tRNA-Gln". It matches the Rfam family "tRNA". From Rfam's summary of the family: Transfer RNA (tRNA) molecules are approximately 80 nucleotides in length. Their secondary structure includes four short double-helical elements and three loops (D, anti-codon, and T loops). Further hydrogen bonds mediate the characteristic L-shaped molecular structure. tRNAs have two regions of fundamental functional importance: the anti-codon, which is responsible for specific mRNA codon recognition, and the 3' end, to which the tRNAs corresponding amino acid is attached (by aminoacyl-tRNA synthetases). tRNAs cope with the degeneracy of the genetic code in two manners: having more than one tRNA (with a specific anti-codon) for a particular amino acid; and 'wobble' base-pairing, i.e. permitting non-standard base-pairing at the 3rd anti-codon position. Lineage: Bacteria; Candidatus Collieribacteriota. RNAcentral also lists the same sequence under 1 other name. The record is from RNAcentral.
UGCCGAAUCGUCUAAUGGUAGGACGCCACCCUUUGGAGGUGGUUAUUGGGGUUCGAAUCCCUGUUCGGCAA